RNAcentral lists this long non-coding RNA (9094 nucleotides) under Gossypium barbadense (sea-island cotton). Its description in RNAcentral is "long non-coding RNA (GBAR_LNC001085)". The record is from RNAcentral. Lineage: Eukaryota; Viridiplantae; Streptophyta; Magnoliopsida; Malvales; Malvaceae.
UUCCCCUUCACAAAAAUAUGCAGCACAGAAAGGGUUUUGAAGUUGGAAAAUUUCAGCAACAUAUUUCCCUUGCUUGUAAGUGAUUUUAAUGUCUUUGCUUGAUGAUUUUUGUAUUUUUGGAACCCCUAAAGCAUAAGCUUUCAUAAGAGGGGAUUAUUUUGCAAAAUGAUGAAGAGUCUAGGGUUUUACCAUGAGAGUAAAUGUGUUGUUUGCUGUGUUUUUAUGGAAGAUUAUGAGUUCUAGUUGUCUAAUAAACAACUUUUGUGAAAGAAAUUGCAUGAAAAUACCUUAAAAAGGGGUAAAUUGCUAAGUUGUAAAAUGAGUUGUAAAUGUGUAAAAUAGUUGAAAUUAUGAGUUGUUAUAGUUAUGAAAAUGGUUCAUCUAGACUCAAGGAGUAAAGAAAUGUGAUAAAAAUUAAUUUACGAGCAUUGGGGCAAAAGUGCAAAUAUGUAAAAGUUUAGGGGUCAAAAUAAAAAUUUGUAAAAAUAUGAUUUUUAGACCCAUAUGAAUAUUGUGACUGAUUGGUAGGCUAAAUGUGAUGUUAUAGAUGAUGAAAAUUGAGAUUUGGACCUAGAACGGAAAGAAAUCGAUUUAUGGACGAGUAUGUCUUUUCACCGUUGUGGUAUCGAGGUAAGUUCAUGUGUAAAUAAUGUAGCAUAAUUGUUAUUUUUAAGUUAUUGAUGUUAAAUAUAUGAUAUGCUGAUUUUUAUCAUGAAAUAUAUGCUUUGUGGUUAUUUUCGAAUAAAAUGCAAGUUAUGUGUAUUAUCUGUUAAAUAUAAAGUGCUACCGAGUAUUGGUUUCGGUAUUUUACGGAAGAUGGCAAGGAUAUGUGUUCGAGGAAAAUCCCGUUUGAACCUUAGGAAUAGAUUAGGAUACAAGUGACAUGUCACUAGGAUGGUUGAGCAUCCAAACUCGUUGAGUUGAGUCCGAGUUCACUUAUGGAUGCGAAUGUUCGAACUCGUUGAGUUGAGUCUGAGUUCGUGAGAUGUAACUAGGCAUCCGAGCUCGUUGAGUUGAGUCCGAGUUCACUUAUGGAUGCGAACGCCCGAGCUCGUUGAGUUGAGUCCGAGUUCACUUAUGGGCGGGUUACAUGGUAGCUUGGCUACAUAUGUGGCACUUAUGUGCAAACUUUUCAUGUAUCCGAAUUAUAUUCCGAUGUGUUCAAUGGGUAAAAUUCUACUCAAAUGGAAGAAUACUCGAGAUGAAAGGGACGUAUUGGUAAAUGUUGUGAAAUGGAUACUUUGAACAGGUAUGUACUUAACCCUCGUGUUGAAAACUCGACAUAACAACAAUAUGGUAAGAUGGUAAAUGAAAAUGUGAUAUGAAUGUCUCGGUGAUGAUUAUACAAACGAUGUUGUAUUAAUUUUGUGAACAAUGAUCAUGAAUGAGUAAUUUAGCCUUGACAGAUUUGAGUUACUGCAGUAGUGUAACUUUGAAAAUACACUAAAAAUAGUGGAAAAUAAGUUAGAGGCAGAAUAAAAUAUGGGAUUAAAGCUCAACGAGUCUAUUUUCACAUGAAAGAAACAGAGAAGAAAAAGAAUUCCAUAUUGUGUGAUAUUUGAAUUCUUGUGAAACAGGGUCUGAAUGAAUUCGAGAUCCCCUAUUCUAACUUUAUAAAUUCACCAAAAAUUUUACAAAAAUUUUUAAGAGUUAUACCUUACAUGCAUAUAUUCAUUAUUGAGUCUAUUUUUAUGGAAAAUAAACGGCAUGGUCGUUGGAAUUUUGUACAGGGAGAAAUUCGGUUUGUAGUGCACAGGGGUCAGAGUGGUCAUACCCUGAAAUAGGGGAGACUUUAACUAAUAAACUGUACUAUUUGGCUUAACCAAAAAUUCUGGAAAUUUUAUGGAAGAAAUUAAAAUAAGUCUAUUUUUAGGGAAAAUUAACGGAACUUAAUUCGGAGUUUAGUAGCUCCAGAUAUAAAUAAUUUAGUGACUGUUGCUCAGGAAGACAACUUGUAGUGAACUUGAGAAUAUGUUGUAAACAUUGAUAAAACAAGUUAAUGAGUUGCUUAUUGUUUUCAUAUGAACUUACUAAGCGAAAGCUUACCCCCCUUCUUUCCCAUGGUUUUUAGAGUUUCCAGGUUAGCUCGGGUUGGAGGCCGUCAGAGAUAUUAUCACCCUAUCGAGUUAACGUUAUCGGAGUAAGUAAAAUCAAGUGAUUCGAGUCUAUGGCAUGUAUAGGGUUUUAAUGUGAGUAUGUAAUAUUAUGAUCUAGCCAAAGGCAUUGGCUUGUUAUUAAGGUAGUGUUAGUUAUGUAAAUUGGCCUAUGUCGGCUAAUAUCGUUAUGGGCCCAUAUGAUUAUUCUUAUGCAUUUAUGUUAUUAUUUCUUGUGAUGUGGCUUACAACAUGUAUGCCUAGAGAUUGAAUUGAGAUUCAUCGAUGAGCUAGUAACUAAUGCAGGAUUAAGUGAUUGGUAAAUAGUUAAUAAUGCUUCAUGAAUGGUUUGUGAUGUAAUGAUAGUUAUGUCUAGUAUGUGGUAAUGAUAUGGGCAAAUUCUAUAAUAUUUAUUGCAUAAGAAAAUAACUUGAGCAUAACAUGUUUGUAGAUGUUUAAGAGCUCAUUUAUGUCACGUUGUAUGUUAUUGGAUAAGUAUGUAUCUAUGCAUAUGGUGUGAGAGUGAUAAAAGGCUUAAUAAUUAGCCUAUUUCUGGCCACACGGCCUGAGCACAUGGGCGUGUGAAGCCUUAACGCAAGAAAUUUUUUUAAGUUUUUCAUGAGUUCUCGAUUGGGUCCCGAACCACUCCAGAUGUAUGUUUUGGGCCUCGUAAGCCCGUAUAUGGGACAGAUUGUAUGUGAAAAGAAAAGUUUUUAACUAUUUGAUAUUUCAUGGCCCUGUUUAGUAUGAAAGUGUUAGUAAAAGUCAGGUAGCACCUCGAACCCCGUCCCGGCGUCGGAUGCAGGCGAGGGGUGUUACAUUUAGUGGUAUCAGAGCAUGGUUUAGUCGAUUCUCGGGCUAACCUAGCGUAAGAGAGUCUAGCUAUACAUGUCAUAGUAUUACUCGUGAUAGUGUGAUAUCUCUCGGCCCUAACAAAACUGUUGAUUAAGACAGGAAUGAGUUUCAACCGAGCAAAUCUUGAUAGAGAUAAGAGUAAAGUUGAGAUUAUUGAAUCAUGCUUAUGAUAUGCUGAAAAUUGGGAAAGGUAUGAAAAGAAAUCCAUGAUUUUUUUUAUAUGAACUAGUUUUCAUUAUGUGAUACUCUUGAGAUAAAGAGUGUGAAAUAGUGGAGUAAAACACAGUUAAGUUGUGAAAAAACGCUUUUAUGCAUGUUAGUAUUCAUACGAUGUUAAAUGUUCAACUUGAUUUGGCCAAGUGUUUAGGAAAAGAAAGAAAUUUGCUUGAAAUGACAGAAUGUAUGUAUGAAUGCUUUUAUUGCAUGAUUAAUAAUCAAUAUAUACAUGAGGUUGACAUUUAUGUCUAGAUUGAUGAAGUCAAGAUGCAGUAAUGUUAUGCUUUAUAAUCUCAGUUACAGAAUCAUAAAUGUCACAAUAGCAUGAAAGUUGUAAUGAAAGAUCAAAUUGGGUAGAACGCAGGGAAUGAGUACGAUCGUUCACUAAUGAAUUGAUGGAAAAGACCAUGGUUGGACCAUGGCAAUACAUGAGAUUUGUGUGCCAGUGUAAGACCAUGUAUGGGACAUGGCAUCGGCAUUGAGACGAGGGCUAGUGUAAGACAUGUCUGGGACAUGCAUCAGCCACAGUAUGAGAGCCAGAGUAAGACAUGUCUGGGACAUGCAUCGGCCUUGAGAUGUUAGCCAAUGUCAGACAUGUCUGGGACAUGCGUCGGCUACGAGAUGUGCUAAUGUAAGACAUGUCUGGGACAUGCGUCAGCACGGUUACAUGUGUCAGUGUAAGACCUGUCUGGGACACGGUAUCGAUACAGAUAGAUGAGAGCUAGUACAAGACCAUAGUUGAACUAUGGCAUCAAGUAAACGAUGUACUCAAAACCAUAAGACGUUCUCCAAUUUGAUAAAUAUUGGCAAGUGAUUAAGACUAAAUAUGGGAAUUUGAUAAAACAUUAAGGGUAAUUUGAAAAAAUGAAAUGAAAGUUUGAGUUAUGAUAAAUUCAUUUAUGUUUAGCUAAUAUUCGCACGAAAUAAAGUUGCAUGUAUUACUGAGAUAUGUGAAAAUGUGUUCAUAACAAGUUGGAAAUUUGAAAUGUUUGAAUCAAUAUGCGUAAAGCUAUAUUGUUGUUGAAUAUGUAUUUGCUUGAGAGUCAAAAGUUUAGAGGCUUUACAAUCUUCGCCCCCUUACCAGAAUAGAGUUAUAUGAUGAGAUUCUCGAGAGAUAUGUUGCAUAAGCUUGCAAAAGUUAAACUAAAAAGUAUAAUAAUGGAAUAGUAUGGGAUUAGUGAAGACAGAAUUAGUUAGAGGAAUAAUGUCGGACUUGCACUGAUGUUUGAGUAUGUCGGAUUCAAUCAAAUAAAAGUGAUGGCUAUCUUUCUCUUCUGAGUAUUCUAUGUUUUCCUCAAUUCUGGGGAAUACGUAUGGUUAUCCCUUUCGAAUGGAAAUUCUAUCAUACGAGGAUGCUAGUGACUGUGAUAUUAGAUGAAAAGCUCUAUUGGUCCAGUUAGUUAUAAUUGACAUUUUCCCCAUCUCUUCAGAUUUCUAUUCUGAUAUAUUGGAAUGAAGUUGAUAGUAAAAAAAAAAAUCUAUGUGAGAUUAUUCUGAUGUUCUAUUGAUUAUGGUUUAUAUAUGCGAGAAUUAUAUUAUCUCUAUUAUGAGAAAUUCUAAAGCGUACAGACAGUAGUUUCCUUCUGGUUUUCUCUAAGGGAUUUUUCGGAUCAUAUUUAUUAUUUUCUUCUGGAUUAUAUUCUCGGAUUUCUGGUGUAGUCUUUGUAUCUUGGAAUUUCUUAUAUUGGCUUUUCUCUCGUUCUUGUUUCGAGAAUUAUCAAGCUUGGCUUAUCUUUACGAGUAAUCUUUGACUUGCGAUAUUAGAAUCUGUUAUGAUUAAGCUUUUGGCUCGACCAUAGAAGUGUGGGGAUUUCAGUGUCGAGAUUUCUUUAAAACUUCUGGGGUAAAGAAUGGUUAUUCUGCAAAGGUAAAUCUGAGUUAUGUGCAUUUAAGUUUAUUCUCUGGUUCGAGAAUACCGUUACGUGUUCUUUGGUAAGUAGUCGUACAGUCAGAAAUGAUGGGGUUUUAUUCUUGAAAGUAUGUUAUGGAAACAUAUUAGUUGGAUUUCUCUUGUUCGAGAGAUGUUAUAAGUAUAGUUAUCCUGAUUAAUAAAAAGACCACAUCUAUGAAGUUGGAAUCAUUUGAUUCAUGUUAGUAAAGUUUCUAAACAGUUGAUGAUCAGAGUAUAGAAAUGUGGCUAUAAGUGGUAAAUUAAACAAGUACAACAUGAUUCGACUUUUAAUUUGGAAUUGCAGGGAGGAUUUGAUUUCUGGUUUCUAUUACUAUUAAUUCAGAGUAAGAUUUCAGUACUGAGAAACUCUGGGUAUACAGAGAAUUGAGUAUAGAGUUCACAGCAGUAUCUUGUUUCUUUGUUCAAAGGAUGUCGAAUUGUCUAUAGGGUAAAGCCGAAUAUCAAAUGUAUUCGAGAUUAUUAUUGUCAGUGAUGACAGUGGGAAGAAAAUGAGAAAGGACUGUUAUGAAUUUCGUAUCGGGAUGUCUCUCAUUUCCAGGAAAAAGGAGAGAUGCAAGUUGAAUUGUGAAAGAUUGAUGAUGGAAGUCUGCAUGAUUAUUUUAGUAUGUACAGAUAUAUUAUUCAACAGAUGUGACUGAGUUGUAUGUUUCUGAGUUUAUAGUUCCAAGAAUGUCAGUCUCCAGUGAUUCAAAUUGAGCUCCGAAGUUUAUACCUCAUCUAUGGAAAAGCUAUAGGAAAUCUUGAGUAUGAGCUUGUGCAGAGUUGUUUUGUAAGUUGUGAGAAAACGAUAUAAGUGACUCAUGAAAGUAGAGAACAACUUUUUCUGGUAAGAUUUUCGAGGACGAAAAUCCUUAAAGGGGGAAAAAAUGUAACAGCCCGAUUUUGGGCCUAGUCGGAACAGUGGUUUUGGGACCACUAUUCCGAGGCCAGAGAAAGUUAUUUUAGUAUUAUUUUAUGUGUUAUAAUAUGAUUUUAUAAGUGCAUGUUAAUUUUGGUAUAUUAAUUUUAGCGAUUUCUAGUCCAAUUUCAAAAAAGGACUAAAUCGCGUAAAAAGUAAAAGUUGUGUUUUAAUACCUAAAGGUGUUAAAUUGCCUUGUAUCUUAAAUUGGGGGUCUUUAAAGUGAAAUUAAGCCAUUGAAAGUGUGAUGGCCGGCCAUGGGAGACAAAAUAGUUGAAAAGUCAAAAUUGAACAAAAUAGUUUUAUUAUUAACAAAUAAAAAAAGAAAAAGAAAAAGCUAUCAUUUUUCUCUUCCCCUUCACCAAAAUAUGCAGCAAAGAAAGGGUUUUGAAGCUGGAAAAUUUCAACAACAUAUUUCCCUUGCUUGUAAGUGAUUUUAAUGUCUUUGCUUGAUGAUUUUUGUAUUUUUGGAACCCCUAAAGCAUAAGCUUUCAUAAGAGGGGAUUAUUUUGCAAAAUGAUAAAGAGUCUAGGGUUUUACCAUGAGAGUAAAUGUGUUGUUUUCUGUGUUUUUAUGGAAGAUUAUGAGUCCUAGUUGUCUAAUAAACAACUUUUGUGAAAGAAAUUGCAUGAAAAUACCUUAAAAAGGGGUAAAUUGCUAAGUUGUAAAAUGAGUUGUAAAUGUGUAAAAUAGUUGAAAUUAUGAGUUGCUAUAGUUAUGAAAAUGGUUCAUCUAGACUCAAGGAGUAAAGAAAUGUGAUAAAAAUUAAUUUACGAGCAUUGGGGCAAAAGUGCAAAUAUGCAAAAGUUUAGGGGUCAAAAUGAAAAUUUGUAAAAAUAUGAUUUUUAGACCCAUAUGAAUAUUGUGACUGAUUGGUAGGCUAAACGUGAUGUUAUAGAUGAUGAAAAUUGAGAUUUGGACCUAGAAUGGAAAGAAAUCGAUUUAUGGACGAGUAUGUCUUUUCACCUUUGUGGUAUCGAGGUAAGUUCAUGUGUAAAUAAUGUAGCAUAAUUUUUAUUUUUAAGUUAUUGAUGUUAAAUAUAUGAUAUGCUGAUUUUUAUCAUGAAAUAUAUGCUUUGUGGUUAUUUUCGAAUAAAAUGCAAGUUAUGUGUAUUAUCUGUUAAAUAUAAAGUGCUACCGAGUAUUGGUUUCGGUAUUUUACGGAAGAUGGCAAGGAUAUGUGUUCAAGGAAAAUCCCGUUUGAACCUUAGGAAUAGAUUAGGAUACAAGUGACAUGUCACUAGGAUGGUUGAGCAUCCGAACUCGUUGAGUUGAGUCCGAGUUCACUUAUAGAUGCGAAUGUUCGAACUCGUUGAGUUGAGUCUGAGUUCGUGAGAUGUAACUAGGCAUCUGAGCUCGUUGAGUUGAGUCCGAGUUCACUUAUGGAUGCGAACGCUCGAGCUCGUUGAGUUGAGUCCGAGUUCACUUAUGGGCGGGUUACAUGGUAGCUUGGCUACAUAUGUGGCACUUACGUGCAAACUUUCCAUGUAUCCGAAUUAUAUUCCGAUGUGUUCAACGGGUAAAAUUCUACUCAAAUGGAGGAAUACUCGAGAUGAAAGGGACGUAUUGGUAAAUGUUGUGAAAUGGAUACUUUGAACAGGUAUGUACUUAACCCUCGUGUUGAAAACUCGACAUAACAACAAUAUGGUAAGAUGGUAAAUGAAAAUGUGAUAUGAAUAUCUCGGUGAUGAUUAUACAAACGAUGUUGUAUUAAUUUUGUGAACAAUGAUCAUGAAUGAGUAAUUUAGCCUUGACAGAUUUGAAUUACUGCAGUAGUGUAACUUUGAAAAUACACUAAAAAUAGUGGAAAAUGAGUUAGAGGCAGAAUAAAAUAUGGGAUUAAAGCUCAAUGAGUCUAUUUUCACAUGAAAGAAACAGGGAAGAAAAAUAAUUCCAUAUUGUGUGAUAUUUGAAUUCUUGUGAAACAGGGUCUGAAUGAAUUCGAGAUCCCCUAUUCUAACUUUAUAAAUUCACCAAAAAUUGUACAAAAAUUAUUAAGAGUUAUACCUUACAUGCAUAGAUUCCUUAUUGAGUCUAUUUUUAUGGAAAAUAAACGGCAUGGUCGUUGGAAUUUUGUACAGGGAGAAAUUCAGUUUGUAGUGCACAGGGGUCAGAGUGGUCAUACCCUGAAACAGGGGAGACUUUAACUAAUAAACUGUACUAUUUGGCUUAACCAAAAAUUCUGGAAAUUUUAUGAAAGAAAGUAAAAUAAGUCUAGUUUCAGGGAAAAUUAACGGAACUUAAUUCGGAGUUUCGUAGCUCCAGAUAUAAAUAAUUUAGUGACUGUUGCUCAGGAAGACAACUUGUAGUGAACUUGAGAAUAUGUUGUAAACAUUGAUAAAACAAGUUAAUGAGUUGCUUAUUGUUUUCAUAUGAACUUACUAAGCGAAAGCUUACCCCCCUUCUUUCCCAUGGUUUUUAGAGUUUCCAAGUUAGCUCGGGUUGGAGGCUGUCAGAGAUAUUAUCACCCUAUCAAGUUAACGUUAUCGGAGUAAGUAAACUCAAGUGAUUCGAGUCUAUGGCAUGUAUAGGGUUUUAAUGUGAGUAUGUAAUAUUAUGAUCUAGCCAAAGGCAUUGGCUUGUUAUUAAGGUAGUAUUAGUUAUGUAAAUUGGCCUAUGUCGGCUAAUAUCGUUAUGGGCCCAUAUGAUUAUUCUUAUGCAUUUAUGUUAUUAUUUCUUGUGAUGUGGCUUACAACAUGUAUGCCUAGAGAUUGAAUUGAGAUUCAUUGAUGAGCUAGUAACUAAUGCAGGAUUAAGUGAUUGGUAAAUAGUUAAUAAUGCUUCAUGAAUGGUUUGUGAUGUAAUGAUAGUUAUGUCUAGUAUGUGGUAAUGAUAUGGGCAAAUUCUAUAAUAUUUAUUGCAUAAGAAAAUAACUUGAGCAUAACAUGUUUGUAGAUGUUUAAGAGCUCAUUUAUGUCACGUUGUAUGUUAUUGGAUAAGUAUGUAUCUAUGCAUAUGGUGUGAGAGUGAUAAAAGGCUUAAUAAUUAGCCUAUUUCUGGCCACACGGCCUGAGCACAUGGGCGUAUGAAGCCUUAACGCAAGAGAUUUUUUUAAGUUUUUCAUGAGUUCUCGAUUGGGUCCCGAACCACUCCAGAUGUAUGUUUUGGGCCUCGUAAGCC